AUCUGGUUGAUCCUGCCCAUAGCAUAUGCUUGUCUCAAAGAUUCAGCCAUACACGUCUCAGUACAUGCCGAUUAAUGAUAAGGCGAAACCGUAAAUGGCUCAUUAAAUCAGUCACGGUUCAUUGGAUCGUGACGCGUUACUUGGAUAACUGUGUCAUUUCUAGAGCUAAUACGUGCAGACGAGCUCCGACCGCCCCCUGGGGCGAGACGAGCGCUUUUAUUAGAUUCUUCCCAAGCCAGCAAUCUCCGAGGACGUGAAAGAAGCUGAAUAACUUGGCAGAUCGCAGGGGCGAGUCCCGGUGACGUAUCUUUCACCUAUCUAUCUGCGUACCUUAUCAACUGUCGACUUUAGGUGAUGCGCCUACCGUGGUCGCCACGGGUGACGGGGAAUCAGGGUUCGAUUCCGGAGAGGGAGCCUGAGAAACGGCUACCACAUCUAAGGAAGGCAGCAGGCACGAAAAUUACCCAAUCCCGGCCCGGGGAGGUAGUGACGAAAAAUAAUGAUGCUGGACUCUUCGAGACCCAGUCAUCGGAAUUAGUACGCUCUAAACCCUCUAACGAGGACCUACUGGAGGGCAAGACUAAUGUCAGCCGCUGCGGUAAUUUUAGCUCCAGUGGCGUAUACCAAAAUUGUUGCAAUUAAAAAACUCGUAGUUGGAUAUCUGAUCUGGGUAGGGGCCGCUCACGUGGUCAGCCAUGCGCACCCGGCAUUCUGCUUGCCACUGGGUCGGCCCCCGGUGGAUGGCGGUAAUCGCUUUGCAAAAAUUAGAGUGCUCAAAGCAUGCUGUAAAGGCUCGGAUAGUAAUGCACGGUACGAUGGAACAUGACUUCGGCUCUGGGGCGUUGGGGAUAGAUGGGGACCGGGAAGAAAAAAAGAACGAAAGGGGG
Trichonephila inaurata madagascariensis is the source of this 887-nucleotide non-coding RNA. Lineage: Eukaryota; Metazoa; Arthropoda; Arachnida; Araneae; Nephilidae. The record is from the annotation of a GenBank genome assembly.